Acanthosepion pharaonis is the source of this 106-nucleotide non-coding RNA. The record is from the annotation of a GenBank genome assembly. NCBI's taxonomy places the organism in Eukaryota, Metazoa, Mollusca, Cephalopoda, Sepiida, Sepiidae.
CUACGGCCAUAUCACGUUAAAACACCGAUUCUCGUACGAUCACAGAAGUUAAGAUACGCUGAACCUGGUCAGUACCUAGGUGGGCGACAAUGGGUGAAUAACAGGU